AGCAGCCGCGGUAAUUCCAGCUCCAAUAGCGUAUAUUAAAGUUGUUGCAGUUAAAAGCUCGUAGUUGAAUUUCGGGAUCAGUACGCUGGUCGUGCCUUCGGUAUGAACUGGUGUCACUGGUUCCUCCCUUCUGAAGAACCGUCAUGCCAUUCAGUUGGUGUGGCGGGGAAUCAGGACUGUUACUUUGAAAAAUUAGAGUGUUUAAAGCAGGCUCGCGCUUGAAUACAUUAGCAUGGAAUAAUGAAAUAGGACGUUUGACCCUAUUUGUUGGUUUCUAGGAUCGACGUAAUGAUUAAUAGGGAUAGUUGGGGCAUUAGUAUUCAAUUGUCAGAGGUGAAAUUCUUGGAUUUAUUGAAGACUAACUACUGCGAAAGCAUUUGCCAAGGAUGUUUCAUUAAUCAAAGAACGAAAGCUAGGGAUCGAAGACGAUCAGAUACCGUCGUAGUCUUAACAUAAACUAUGCCGACUAGGGAUCGGAUGAUGUUAAUUUAUAAUGACU
This 499-nucleotide ribosomal RNA is filed under the name uncultured Glomus. Its description in RNAcentral is "SSU rRNA". It matches the Rfam family "Eukaryotic small subunit ribosomal RNA", at positions 569 to 1076 of the family's 1831-position model. Lineage: Eukaryota; Fungi; Glomeromycota; Glomeromycetes; Glomerales; Glomeraceae. The record is from RNAcentral.